RNAcentral lists this ribosomal RNA (406 nucleotides) under uncultured bacterium. Its description in RNAcentral is "partial 16S ribosomal RNA". It matches the Rfam family "Bacterial small subunit ribosomal RNA", at positions 30 to 526 of the family's 1533-position model. The record is from RNAcentral.
AUUGAACGCUGGCGGCCGGCCUAACACAUGCAAGUCGAACGCGUGGCGGACGGGUGAGUAAUGUCUGGGACACUGCCUGCUGGAGGGGGAUAACUACUGGAACCGGUAGCUAAUACCGCAUACCAUCGGAUGUGCCCAGAUGGGAUUAGCAAGUAGGUGGGGUAAAGGCUCACCUAGGCGACGAGCCCUAGCUGGUCGGAGAGGAUGACCAGCCAAACUGGAACUGAGACACGGUCCAGACUCCUACGGGAGGCAGCAGUGGGGAAUAUUGCACAAUGGGCGCAAGCCUGAUGCAGCCAUGCCGCGUGUAUGAAGAAGGCCUUCGGGUUGUAAAGUACUUUCAGCGGUGAGGCGUUACCCGCAGAAGAAGCACCGGCUAACUCCGUGCCAGCAGCCGCGGUAAUAC